Molecule: long non-coding RNA, 462 nt
Organism: Sander lucioperca (pikeperch)
Lineage: Eukaryota; Metazoa; Chordata; Actinopteri; Perciformes; Percidae
Exons: 4
Source: RefSeq, a predicted model, not a curated record
UGUUUGGGGAAACACGUAGCCUACGUUUGACCAAUCGCAGCGGUGUUGGUAAUAACUUUGGGCGAGUUCUGUAAAGCCGAAAAGCUAGUUGCAUCAGGUUGUGUCGUGGGGGAGAAACCGUUGAUGAGGAGGAUGCCAGAACUGGUGCUACUACUGUCAGAAAGCAUGAAGGCAGAGACUGUUUCCUGGGAGACAGAAAAUUCAGCCUGACCCAGAAACCAACCUAUAGCCUAGUUAGCAGCCUAGAGUCCGUUCUGCAGGCAACCACCAAAGGAAUCUGGAGCAGAGGGAUGUCACCUGGCAGUCUCUUCCUGGGCACCCGGGCAGCAGCUGUCGGAAUACACUCGGCUUUGUGUUUUUAUACGAGAGAAGAGCACAGAGUGACUGCCACAUAUGAAGAGCGGGAAUCAAAGGAAGCCGUGGAAUGCGUUGGGGUAAAAAUGAACACAAGAAUGAAUGACG